GACGAACGCUGGCGGCGUGCUUAACACAUGCAAGUCGAACGAAGAGCGAUGGAAGCUUGCUUCUAUCCAUCUUCGUGGCGCACGGGUGUGUAACGCGUAAUCCACCUCUCCUUCAGUGGGGGACCUCAGUUGGAAACGACUGCUUAUACCGCAUUCUAUCCAAUCUCGUCAUCCAGUAUGGAUGAAAGGUGGCCUUUAUUUUUAAGCUAUCAUUCAAGGCGGGGUUUGCGUCUGAUUAGCUAGUUGGUGGGGUAACGGCCCACCAAUGCGAUGCUCAGGAGCCGGUCUGGGAGGAGGAACGGCCACAUUGGGACUGGGACACGGCCCAGAAUUCUAAGGGGGGGAGCAGGGGGGAAUCUUCCGCAAUGGACGAAAGUCUGACGGAGGAACGCCGGGUGAGGGAUGACGGCCUUCGGGUUGGAAAGAUCUGUUAAUCGGGAAGAAAGGUACUCUUGAGAAUAGUUAGAGGAAUUGACGGUACCGGAAUAGAAAGCCACGGCUAACUACGUG
RNAcentral lists this ribosomal RNA (510 nucleotides) under uncultured bacterium. RNAcentral's name for it is "partial 16S ribosomal RNA". It matches the Rfam family "Bacterial small subunit ribosomal RNA", at positions 28 to 507 of the family's 1533-position model. The record is from RNAcentral.